UGGGAGCUCGCAGGUGCCUGGAAAGUGAUCGCAGAUGCGGGUGAGGCCAAGAAGGCCUGGGGUCGCAUGAGCUGGAGUUUCUCCGCAGGCGCGAGUGCAUAGGGGCGUACGAUUUUCGUAGAAGCGGAUGCGCAGGUGCGCAUGCUUCUCCGCAGAAGAAGACUUGGCCAAACAUGGUGAGAACCGCAGGUGCAACAUCACAGGUGCGACCCAAGGUCUGCAGAAGCGGAAACCGCUAGGUAGUGAUUAAAAGCAACUCAAAUCCAACCGCGAAAACGAGCAAGAAGGGAGUUUAAACUUCUACAAUUCUACUCUUGGUUUAUGAUUUGUUAAAUUUCUUCUGUUUUUUUGGACUAAGCGUUAAUUUUCAUUCAGAGUAUCUUUUUAAUCCAUUUUAAAAUUAGAAUGAGGUUAUUUUGAUCAAGCAAUAUCUUUUAUUGGAGUAUGCAUUAUCUCACUAAUAUUGUGUUUAGUGUAAUACUUGCAAAAAUUAUGUGGUGAAAAAUAUAGACUUGAUAGUAGGUAAGUACUUGUAAAAUAGAGUUAUAGAAUAAGAGAGUUAUAUUCUAUUAAUUUAUUUUCUUUUGCAAUAGGAAUUAACAAAGAACAUAGAGAGGUGGACCCUACCAGGGCCAGAUUAUCCUUUUCCUGCCUCCUUUUGGAAGCAAAACUAUUAUAUGCAGUAACAGUGUCAGACCCCAAGGUAUUUGCCUUGUAAUCAAAUUUUCAAAGUGAUAACUCAAGUUCGAACUUAAGGAUGAAAUAUUGUUUCAUUUGCCCUAAGACAUGUUAGGCACAGUAUGAUCACGCUAGUGGUACAUAUAUUGGAUUAAUCGAGAUAAGCACAAGUUGAUCUUAAAUUAUAGUAGAAAAUACUUUCAUUGGUUUUUAAACUGAAGUUCAUGCAAAAUUUAUAGAAACCUCCCUUAUGUUAUGAGAGUGCGAGUGUGUUAUUCGAUUGUGGAGUUGAUUGACCAACUAGGCAUCUUUAAUCUUUAAAUAUCCAUGUUAUCCGUAUUCUGUUGCUCUAUCCAAGAGACAAGAAGAUACUGCCAACUCUACUUUAUUGGCUAUUUCCACUACACAACUUGCUUGGCUAGAAGAAGUUAACCAUUCCUAUGAAGAUGUUCCUAGGGCUACUCAGUUAUUGGCUGAGUUAAUAACAACAGCUCAGGGCAAUUCAGACUACACACUACAACAAGAGAUAAUCAGGUAUAAAUAGAAGAUAUAGGUAGGAAAGGGUAACACAGUGAGAAGAAGAGUAUGGGAAGCAUUGUAUCAAUCACCACUGGGAGGCCACUCAGGACAACAAGGUACUUAUACGAGGUUACAUAUGAACUUUUAUUGGCCAAAUAUGAAGUCAGACAGCUGCAAAUGGGUCAGUGAAUGUGACAUAUGUCAAAGGGUGAAAUCAGAGAAUGUUCACUAUCCUGGGUUACUACAGCCUUUUCCUAUUCCUGAGUAAGCAUGGCAGGACAUCUCUAUGGAUUUUGUAGAAGGAUUACCUACUUCAAAUAAGAAGAAUACAAUUUUGGUGGUGGUUGAUAGACUCACUAAGUAUGGUCACUUUCUGCCUCUUAAACAUCCCUUUACAGCACAGGAUGUAGCAGAACUAUUUCUCUAGGAAAUUUAUAGACUGCAUGGCAUUCCUAGGUCCAUAGUGUCUGACAGGAAUUCAGUUUUCACUAGCCACUUUUGGCAGCACCUUUUCAGAUCUAUGAGCACCAAACUCAAUCUGAGUUCAGCUUAUCACCCUCAGAGUGAUGGUCAAACGGAGAGACUCAACAGGUGUAUGGAAACUUACCUAAGGGAAAUGGUUUUUGAUAAUCCUAAGCAAUAGGUCAAGUGGCUUCACAUGGCAGAGUGGUGGUACAACACCAACUACUACAGUGCUUUAAAGAUCACACCUUUUGAAGCAUUAUAUGGGUAUGCACCACCUCAGCUACCAAUGGGAUCAUUACCAAGUUCUGGGCAGACCAUGGCAAGUGUGAGUUUAGCACAAAGACAGCACAUGGUGCAGAUACUUAAGGACAACCUAACUCGGGCACAGUCACGCAUGAAAUUAUUUGCAGACAGAUGAAGGUCGGAAAGAACCUUGGAGGUUGGGAACCAUGUCUAUCUUAAGCUACAAUCGUAUAGACAAUCAUCAAUCGAGGUUCGUAGAAAUGUUAAGUUGUGUGCUCGUUAUUUUGGUCCUUACAAGAUAUUGAAGAAAGUGGGUACAAUAGCUUACCUCUUGGAGCUUCCUGAAGGCUCCCAGCUCAAGAAGAGAAUCGGUCCAACGACCGAACCUCAGCUUCAGCCACCAACGUGUGAUGCUAACAGUCAAGUGCUAAUUCAACCAGUGGCCAUAUUGCAGCGAAAAAUGAUGAAUAUUGAUAAUGGUGUGGGAGUUAAAGUGUUGGUUAAGUGGGCAAAUCUUAAGGAGGAGGAUGCUACAUGAGAAGACUGGGGGUA
Molecule: long non-coding RNA, 2457 nt
Filed under: Nicotiana tabacum (common tobacco)
Lineage: Eukaryota; Viridiplantae; Streptophyta; Magnoliopsida; Solanales; Solanaceae
Description: long non-coding RNA (NTAB_LNC008159)
Source: RNAcentral